CGGCAAUGUCUCCAUCUUGGAGCGCUGGAGGAGAGAGGAUUUGGGAGGAUGAAGAGGAGGAGAACAGCAAACCUGGGGAUCCUCAUCUCAACAGUGAAAGCUACGCAAGCACAGCCUAGGUCUUUAAACCCUGCAAGGAAGAGGUGCUCUGUGUUCCAUCCGGGACCUUCUCCUGCAACAUAAUCUCCCCAAGACUCACAACAAGCAACGAUGGCAC
Molecule: non-coding RNA, 217 nt
Organism: Pogona vitticeps (central bearded dragon)
Lineage: Eukaryota; Metazoa; Chordata; Lepidosauria; Squamata; Agamidae
Source: RefSeq, a predicted model, not a curated record